RNAcentral lists this transfer RNA (90 nucleotides) under Deltaproteobacteria bacterium. RNAcentral describes it as "tRNA-Ser". It matches the Rfam family "tRNA". Rfam says of the family: Transfer RNA (tRNA) molecules are approximately 80 nucleotides in length. Their secondary structure includes four short double-helical elements and three loops (D, anti-codon, and T loops). Lineage: Bacteria; Pseudomonadati; Myxococcota; Myxococcia. The record is from RNAcentral.
GGAAGGGUGGCCGAGUGGUUUAAGGCAGCGGCUUGCUAAGCCGUCGUACGUCGUCAAGGCGUACCGAGGGUUCGAAUCCCUCCUCUUCCG